AUGUUAAUUGUGGUUACAUUCAUAAGUAGCUUGGUCCAUCUUUAUUCCAUUUCAUAUAUGUCUGAGGAUGCGCAUAGCCCUCGAUUUAUGUGUUAUUUAUCCAUUUUUACUUUUUUUAUGCCAACGUUGGUGACUGGAGAUAACUUUCUUCAAUUAUUCCUGGGAUGGGAGGGAGUAGGUCUUGCUUCAUAUUUGUUAAUUCAUUUCCGGUUUAGAUGA
This 219-nucleotide ribosomal RNA is filed under the name Triticum aestivum (bread wheat). RNAcentral's name for it is "partial small subunit ribosomal RNA". The record is from RNAcentral. Lineage: Eukaryota; Viridiplantae; Streptophyta; Magnoliopsida; Poales; Poaceae.